UACAGAGGGGUCAAGCGUUAUUCGGAAUUAUUGGGCGUAAAGGGCGCGUAGGCGGCCUGGCAAGUGGAAGGUGAAAUCCCUCGGCUUAACCGAGGAACUGCCCUCCAAACUGCUUGGCUUGAGUCCGGGAGAGGUGAGUGGAAUUCCCAGUGUAGCGGUGAAAUGCGUAGAUAUUGGGAGGAACACCAGUGGCGAAGGCGGCUCACUGGACCGGAACUGACGCUGAGGCGCGAAAGCGUGGGGAGCAAACGGG
RNAcentral lists this ribosomal RNA (253 nucleotides) under uncultured bacterium. RNAcentral describes it as "partial 16S ribosomal RNA". It matches the Rfam family "Bacterial small subunit ribosomal RNA", at positions 524 to 776 of the family's 1533-position model. The record is from RNAcentral.